RNAcentral lists this ribosomal RNA (490 nucleotides) under uncultured bacterium. RNAcentral describes it as "partial 16S ribosomal RNA". It matches the Rfam family "Bacterial small subunit ribosomal RNA", at positions 30 to 507 of the family's 1533-position model. The record is from RNAcentral.
AUUGAACGCUGGUGGCAGGCUUAACACAUGCAAGUCGAACGGUAACAGGAAUUAGCUUGCUACUUUGCUGACGAGUGGCGGACGGGUGAGUAAUGCUUGGGAAUCUGGCUUAUGGAGGGGGAUAACUACGGGAAACUGUAGCUAAUACCGCGUAAAAUCUUCGGAUUAAAGGGUGGGACUUUCGAGCCACCUGCCAUAAGAUGAGCCCAAGUGGAAUUAGGUAGUUGGUUAGGUAAAGGCUGACCAAGCCGACGAUCUCUAGCUGGUCUGAGAGGAUGACCAGCCACACUGGAACUGAGACACGGUCCAGACUCCUACGGGAGGCAGCAGUGGGGAAUAUUGCACAAUGGGGGGAACCCUGAUGCAGCCAUGCCGCGUGAAUGAAGAAGGCCUUCGGGUUGUAAAGUUCUUUCGGUGACGAGGAAGGUUGAUAGGUUAAUAGCCUAUCAAAUUGACGUUAAUCACAGAAGAAGCACCGGCUAACUCCGUG